AAGACCUUGUGCUUUUGGAGCGGCCGAUGCCUGAUUAGCUAGUUGGUAGGGUAAAGGCCUACCAAGGCUACGAUCAGUAGUUGGUCUGAGAGGACGACCAGCCACACUGGGACUGAGACACGGCCCAGACUCCUACGGGAGGCAGCAGUGGGGAAUUUUGGACAAUGGGCGAAAGCCUGAUCCAGCAAUGCCGCGUGAGUGAAGAAGGCCUUCGGGUUGUAAAGCUCUUUCAGUCGAGAAGAAAAAGUUGUGACUAAUAAUCACAAUUUAUGACGGUACCGACAGAAGAAGCACCGGCUAACUACGUGCCAGCAGCCGCGGUAAUACGUAGGGUGCAAGCGUUAAUCGGAAUUACUGGGCGUAAAGGGUGCGCAGGCGGCUCUGUAAGUCAGAUGUGAAAUCCCCGGGCUUAACCUGGGAACU
Molecule: ribosomal RNA, 423 nt
Filed under: uncultured bacterium
Lineage: Bacteria
Description: bacterial SSU rRNA
Rfam family: Bacterial small subunit ribosomal RNA
Source: RNAcentral